CAAUAGCGUAUAUUAAAGUUGUUGCGGUUAAAAGCUCGUAGUUGGAUUUCUGUUGAGGAUGGGCGGUCCGCACAUCGUGCGUGUAUCUGUUACAGCCUCGGCAUCCUCUUGAAGAACGAACUGUGAUUUAUUUCGUGGUUCGGAAUUCAAGACUUUUACUUUGAGGAAAUUAGAGUGUUCACGGCAAGCAAUCGCUUUGAAUACAUUAGCAUGGAAUAAUAAUAUAGGGCGUAAGUUCUAUCUUGUUGGUUUCUAGAACAUACGCAAUGAUUAAUAGGGACAAUUGGGGGCAUUCGUAUUAACGCGUCAGAGGUGGAAUUCUUAGAUUGCGUUACGACGAACUACUGCGAAAGCAUUUGCCAAGGAUGUUUUCAUUGAUCAAGAACGAAAGUAUGGGGAUCGAAGACGAUUAGAUACCAU
This 420-nucleotide ribosomal RNA is filed under the name uncultured eukaryote. RNAcentral describes it as "SSU rRNA". It matches the Rfam family "Eukaryotic small subunit ribosomal RNA", at positions 592 to 1018 of the family's 1831-position model. The record is from RNAcentral.